UUUACCCAAGGGUUUAGGAUUUACCCAAGGGUUUAGGGUUUAGGAUUAGGUUUUAGGAUUUAGUGUUUUGUUGAUUGUAUUAAAAAUAUUUUUUUUUAAAUUCAAGAAUUUAAAAUUUAUCAAAGGGUUUAGGGUUUACCAAAGAGUUUAGGGUUUAGAUUUAGAGUUUAGUGUUUUGUUUAUGGUAUUAAUUUUUUUUUUGAAAACUUUUUUUUGCAGCUACUAUUAUUUUUAUUCAUUUAUACUUUUUUUUUAAUUUUAAAAACGUAAUAUAAUUUGACAAUAUUUUGUUUCCUUUUUUAAAAGAUAUCAGAUUUAAAAUAACUAAAUUUUAUUGGUUGGUGAACCUAUAGGUUCACCCUAGGGAGUGAACCCAAGAAUAACUCUAAUAGAAAAGUAUCUCACGGUCACUAGGGCAUCUAGCGUGAAGCGUCAAAAAUGCAAAGCCAGAUAUCGCUUUAGGCUUCGAAUGGAAACAAAAACUGAGCGGUCCAGAACAAACGGAAUAAAUAUUGCAAUACAAAUUAACUGCAGUUAGUAUUAAAAAAAC
Molecule: long non-coding RNA, 550 nt
Filed under: Brassica rapa (field mustard)
Lineage: Eukaryota; Viridiplantae; Streptophyta; Magnoliopsida; Brassicales; Brassicaceae
Description: long non-coding RNA (BRAP_LNC005041)
Source: RNAcentral